Molecule: ribosomal RNA, 254 nt
Filed under: uncultured bacterium
Lineage: Bacteria
Description: partial 16S ribosomal RNA
Rfam family: Bacterial small subunit ribosomal RNA
Source: RNAcentral
UACGUAGGGCGCAAGCGUUGUCCGGAAUUAUUGGGCGUAAAGAGCUCGUAGGUGGCUGGUCGCGUCUGCCGUGAAAGCCCGCAGCUUAACUGCGGGUCUGCGGUGGAUACGGGCCGGCUAGAGGUAGGCAGGGGCAAGUGGAAUUCCUGGUGUAGCGGUGAAAUGCGCAGAUAUCUGGAGGAAUACCGGUGGCGAAGGCGGCAUCCUGGACCGGCAUUGACGCUGAGGAGCGAAAGCCAGGGGAGCAAAGCGGG